RNAcentral lists this ribosomal RNA (483 nucleotides) under uncultured bacterium. Its description in RNAcentral is "partial 16S ribosomal RNA". It matches the Rfam family "Bacterial small subunit ribosomal RNA", at positions 28 to 507 of the family's 1533-position model. The record is from RNAcentral.
GAUGAACGCUGGCGGCGUGCCUAACACAUGCAAGUCGAACGAAGCUUGACGGAUGAUUUCUUCGGAAUGAAACCAGAUAUGACUUAGUGGCGGACGGGUUAGUAACACGUGAGCAACCUGCCUUUCAGAGGGGGAUAACGGCUGGAAACGGUCGCUAAUACCGCAUGAUGUGUUCGGAUGGCAUCAUCUGAACAUCAAAUAUUUAUCGCUGAAAGAUGGGCUCGCGUCUGAUUAGAUAGUUGGUGGGGUAACGGCCUACCAAGUCUACGAUCAGUAGCCGGACUGAGAGGUGGAACGGCCACAUUGGGACUGAGAUACGGCCCAGACUACUACGGGAGGCAGCAGUGGGGAAUAUUGCACAAUGGGGGAAACCCUGAUGCAGCAACGCCGCGUGAAGGAUGACGGUUUUCGGAUUGUAAACUUCUUUUCUUAGUGACGAAGACAGUGACGGUAGCUAAGGAAUAAGCAUCGGCUAACUACGUG